UACGAAGGGGGCUAGCGUUGUUCGGAAUUACUGGGCGUAAAGCGCACGCAGGCGGAUUGAUAAGUCAGGGGUGAAAUCCCGGGGCUUAACCUCGGAAUUGCCUUUGAUACUGUCUGUCUUGAGUCCGGGAGAGGUGAGUGGAAUUCCUAGUGUAGAGGUGAAAUUCGUAGAGAUUAGGAAGAACACCAGUGGCGAAGGCGGCUAACUGGCCCGGAACUGACGUUCAUGUGCGAAAGAGUGGGGAGCAAACAGG
This 253-nucleotide ribosomal RNA is filed under the name uncultured bacterium. RNAcentral describes it as "partial 16S ribosomal RNA". It matches the Rfam family "Bacterial small subunit ribosomal RNA", at positions 524 to 776 of the family's 1533-position model. The record is from RNAcentral.